RNAcentral lists this ribosomal RNA (300 nucleotides) under uncultured Lactobacillus sp. Its description in RNAcentral is "bacterial SSU rRNA". It matches the Rfam family "Bacterial small subunit ribosomal RNA", at positions 496 to 795 of the family's 1533-position model. Lineage: Bacteria; Bacillati; Bacillota; Bacilli; Lactobacillales; Lactobacillaceae. The record is from RNAcentral.
GCUAACUACGUGCCAGGAGCGGUGGUAAUACGGAUGGGGCUAGGGUUUUGCGGAGGUAUUGGGGGGAAAGGGCGGGUAGGCGGCCUGGCAAGUCGGCUGUGAAAACUCGAGGCUCAACCUCGAGAUGUCGGCGGAAACUGCCUGGCUAGAGUCCGGAAGAGGAGAGUGGAAUUCCUGGUGUAGCGGUGAAAUGCGCAGAUAUCAGGAAGAACACCUAUGGCGAAGGCAGCUCUCUGGGACGGUACUGACGCUGAGACGCGAAAGCGUGGGGAGCGAACAGGAUUAGAUACCCUAGUAGUG